RNAcentral lists this ribosomal RNA (460 nucleotides) under uncultured bacterium. Its description in RNAcentral is "partial 16S ribosomal RNA". It matches the Rfam family "Bacterial small subunit ribosomal RNA", at positions 338 to 795 of the family's 1533-position model. The record is from RNAcentral.
CCUACGGGGAGCAGCAGUGAGGAAUAUUGGUCAAUGGACGAGAGUCUGAACCAGCCAAGCAGCGUGAAGGAUGACUGCCCUAUGGGUUGUAAACUUCUUUUAUAUGGGAAUAAAAUGUUCCACGUGUGGGAUUAUGUAUGUACCAUAUGAAUAAGGAUCGGCUAACUCCGUGCCAGCAGCCGCGGUAAUACGGAGGAUCCGAGCGUUAUCCGGAUUUAUUGGGUUUAAAGGGAGCGUAGGUGGCUUGUUAAGUCAGUUGUGAAAGUUUGGGGCUCAACCGUGAAAUUGCAGUUGAAACUGGCAGUCUUGAGUACAGGAGAGGUAGGCGGAAUGCGUGGUGUAGCGGUGAAAUGCUUAGAUAUCACGAAGAACUCCGAUUGCGAAGGCAGCUCGCUGGACUGCAACUGACACUGAGGCACGAAAGUGUGGGUAUCAAACAGGAUUAGAUACCCUGGUAGUC